AGAGUUUCUUUCUGGCUCAGGAUGAACGCUGGCGGCGUGCUUAACACAUGCAAGUCGAACGAAGCACCUGAGAAUGAUUCUUCGGAUGAAGUAUCUUGUGACUGAGUGGCGGACGGGUGAGUAACGCGUGGGUAACCUGCCUCACACAGGGGGAUAACAGUUGGAAACGACCGCUAAUACCGCAUAACCCGCUGGUGCCGCAUGGCACUGACGGAAAAGAUUUUAUCGGUGUGAGAUGGACCCGCGUCUGGUUAGCCAGUUGGCAGGGUAACGGCCUACCAAAGCGACGAUCAGUAGCCGGCCUGAGAGGGUGAACGGCCACAUUGGGACUGAGACACGGCCCAGACUCCUGCGGGAGGCAGCAGUGGGGAAUAUUGCACAAUGGGGGAAACCCUGAUGCAGCGACGCCGCGUGAGUGAAGAAGUAUUUCGGUAUGUAAAGCUCUAUCAGCAGGGAAGAAAAUGACGGUACCUGAUUAAGAAGCCCCGGCUAACUACGUGCCAGCAGCCGCGGUAAUACGUAGGGGGCAAGCGUUAUCCGGAUUUACUGGGUGUAAAGGGAGCGUAGACGGUGAUGCAAGUCAGAAGUGAAAGCCCGGGGCUCAACUCCGGGACUGCUUUUGAAACUGUGUGACUGGAGUGCAGGAGAGGUAAGCGGAAUUCCUUGUGUAGCGGUGGAAUGCGUAGAUAUAUGGAAGAACACCAGUGGCGAAGGCGGCUGUCUGGUCUGCAACUGACGCUGAGGCUCGAAAGCAUGGGUAGCGAACAGGAUUAGAUACCCUGGUAGUCCAUGCCGUAAACGAUGAGUGCUAGGUGUUGGAAGGGUUUCCCCCCUCCAGUGCCGGAGCUAACGCAUU
Molecule: ribosomal RNA, 856 nt
Filed under: uncultured bacterium
Lineage: Bacteria
Description: bacterial SSU rRNA
Rfam family: Bacterial small subunit ribosomal RNA
Source: RNAcentral